CAAAAAUCCUCGGCAUCGUCUCCACCAUUCGAGAAGUCAUCGAAUCUCGAAAUUUCGAGCCAAGUCCUGUUGUGAUGGUGUCUGCUUCGAAAAAGACGAAAACUGGUUGAAAAACUUUAAAAAUUGAACUGGAAUUUAUUAUAGAAAAAGAUGAAAUACUUGGAUCCAG
This 169-nucleotide unclassified non-coding RNA is filed under the name Caenorhabditis elegans. Its description in RNAcentral is "Non-coding transcript of protein-coding gene W01D2.3c". The record is from RNAcentral. Lineage: Eukaryota; Metazoa; Nematoda; Chromadorea; Rhabditida; Rhabditidae.